This is a long non-coding RNA of Neltuma alba, 106 nucleotides long. RefSeq lists it as uncharacterized. The record is from RefSeq and is a predicted model, not a curated record. The transcript has 3 exons. NCBI's taxonomy places the organism in Eukaryota, Viridiplantae, Streptophyta, Magnoliopsida, Fabales, Fabaceae.
AGGAAGAGAAGACAAACACCUUCAAUAUUGAAAAAUGACGAAACUCAAACCAGUUCUCAUUUAAGUGGUUCACAGAAGAUCAAGAGGAUGAUAAGUGACAAUCUUA